UACAGAGGUCUCAAGCGUUGUUCGGAUUCAUUGGGCGUAAAGGGUGCGUAGGUGGCGCUGUAAGUCGGGUGUGAAAUUUCGGAGCUUAACUCCGAAACUGCAUUCGAUACUGCGGUGCUUGAGGACUGGAGAGGAGACUGGAAUUCAUGGUGUAGCGGUGAAAUGCGCAGAUAUCAGGAGGAACACCGGUGGCGAAGGCGGGACUCUGGGCCGAUACUGACGCUGAGGAGCGAAAGCGUGGGGAGCGAACAGG
This 253-nucleotide ribosomal RNA is filed under the name uncultured bacterium. Its description in RNAcentral is "partial 16S ribosomal RNA". It matches the Rfam family "Bacterial small subunit ribosomal RNA", at positions 524 to 776 of the family's 1533-position model. The record is from RNAcentral.